CUGGAACGUGUUGCUCGCCGUCUUAUCGACUAGGUGACACCGUUGCAGCGCGAGGCCCUCCCGUGUCGGCGGGAGAAUCAUCAGCUUCUCCGUAAAGCGUGCCACUGCUUUGGAGCUGAACCGACGACUCUCCCUUGGUCUCCUUAAUCCCCUCUUUGCAUUUCUUUUGGAUUCGGUUUCUUCGCUGCCCCCCUCUUUCUCGCUUUCCUUCGCCUUUCUUCUGUUUCACGAGUCAUGUCGACCCAGUCACUGCCCCUAUGGCGUAUGCCUGAAGUCGUCCUAUCGGACGGCCCGGACAAGCCCGGAGGCAGCUCCACCAGCUGCCGACGUCCCGUUCCCCGUCAUUUUCAAUCAAGACGACGUCGUCAUCGGCCCUGUGUUGCCCGAGCAGAUAGCGUCAACCAUCCUCUUUCUCUGGCCCCCAUGGCCCGCACCCUGGUUGCUGAAGCUUCUUCCGAUUUCUCUUCCGUCGGCCUCUUGGCCUGUUGCCGUGGCUCGGCUCCACUCCUGUAUCACCUACAUGAAUGAGCUCGGGUCCGGGUGACAUUCCGCGCACAAGACCGCAUCCGCGCAUGCCUUUCCAGCUUACGCUAGGCGCGUCGAGACUGAAUGCACAAGUGGCCUCGAAGCUACCACGGCUUUUUUCCGCUAUCGCGCUAUGCAGGACUCUAUUGCAAUAUUGGAGGACAUGUUUCCCCAAAACGCCAAUUGUAUAUUAAUAAUAUACUGAGCUGUUUUCGUCAAUGCUUCCAAGUUUGAAAAAUAAAGGCGAGGAUGCAUCCUUGAGGCUUCCUAAGUCGCUACUCAAGGAUCUAAAACGCGGUCGACAACACAGGCUCUGUUUCACAGAGUGGGAGUAAUGACUCACGAGACAAAACACCUGAGUUACUGUUAGGAGAAUAAUUAUCCCGUUUAAAUUAAUUACUUCCUUUGACGCAUGAAUUACGAUACGCACCCGACGGGUUGUUGAGUAGCAGCUCGAGCUGGCCUUGGCAGCAUCUUCAACGGUCAAAAUCCAAAGCUCGAACGCAGACUCGUCCAGCAUAGCCGGUAACUUUCUAGCCCAUCGAGACGGUAGCGAUUCAACGGGCCAGGUCUAACUUGACGGCGACCAUGAUAUCCGACCGAGACUUGUUCAGCAUCGUCAUCUUUCUAAGCACCGCAUCCAUGCUUCUGAUUCUGCUCAACCACUUUCUCGAGACUGGUGCGACAGCCGAAUCAGCUGGCGGCAUGAAGCCAAGUGAGCGAGUUGAGGGCGGGUCAGCCGCUGGAACAAGGAUAGUUCAUGCCGCUCGAUGUAACAUCCAUCGAACAUAGCAUUAGGAUCUCCGUGUACUCGCCGGCACUUGGCGCGGACAGUUGAUUAUGGCGUUAUCCCAAAACUUCAACGUUUCCGAGUCCUGAAUGGCAAGCCUGCGAUUUAGAAAAACAUCGAAUACCCCGAGCACGUAACAAGAUACUCCGAAUCCAACUCUGCCG
Molecule: long non-coding RNA, 1479 nt
Filed under: Nilaparvata lugens (brown planthopper)
Lineage: Eukaryota; Metazoa; Arthropoda; Insecta; Hemiptera; Delphacidae
Description: uncharacterized LOC120349066
Source: RNAcentral